This 442-nucleotide long non-coding RNA is filed under the name Hordeum vulgare. RNAcentral's name for it is "long non-coding RNA (HVUL_LNC011157)". The record is from RNAcentral. Lineage: Eukaryota; Viridiplantae; Streptophyta; Magnoliopsida; Poales; Poaceae.
GGGACAACUGUAAAUCAAACUUCCGCUGCAAGGUUUCCUGUUGCAAGUAAUGUCAGCCAAAAUCAACCAAGGCAUCCAUCUGUUUUCGGGACAAGUGUAAACCAACCUUUCGCCGGAAGAGUUCCUGUUGCAAGUAAUGUCAGCAAAAAUCAACAAUUUCAUCCAUCUGCUUUGAGGGCAACUGUAAACCAACCUUCCACCGGAAGAGUUCCUGUUGCAAGUAAUGUCAGCAGAAAUCAACAAUUGCAUCCAUCUGCUUUGAUGACAACUGUGAACCAACCUUCAACCGGAAGAGUUCCUGUUGCAGGUAAUGUCAGCCAAAAUCAACAAAUGAAUCCAUCUGCUUUGAGGACAACUGUGAACCAACCUUCGACCGGAAGAGUUCCUGUUGCAAAUAAUGUCAGCCAAAAUCAACAAAUGCAUCCAUCUAUUAUGGCUGCAC